GGAAGUGUGGCAGAGCGGCCGAAUGCACUGGUCUUGAAAACCAGCGAUAGGAAACUAUCCGGGGGUUCAAAUCCCUCCACUUCCGCCA
This 88-nucleotide transfer RNA is filed under the name Corynebacterium sp. Its description in RNAcentral is "tRNA-Ser". It matches the Rfam family "tRNA". From Rfam's summary of the family: Transfer RNA (tRNA) molecules are approximately 80 nucleotides in length. Their secondary structure includes four short double-helical elements and three loops (D, anti-codon, and T loops). The record is from RNAcentral. Lineage: Bacteria; Bacillati; Actinomycetota; Actinomycetes; Mycobacteriales; Corynebacteriaceae.